UACGGAGGGAGCUAGCGUUGUUCGGAAUUACUGGGCGUAAAGAGUGCGUAGGCGGUUUUCUAAGUUUGGUGUGAAAUCUCCCGGCUCAACUGGGAGGGUGCGCCGAAGACUGGAAGGCUUGAGUAUGGGAGAGGUAAGCGGAAUUCCUGGUGUAGCGGUGAAAUGCGUAGAUAUCAGGAGGAACACCUGCGGUGUAGACGGCUUACUGGACCAUAACUGACGCUGAGGCACGAAAGCGUGGGUAGCAAACAGG
Molecule: ribosomal RNA, 253 nt
Filed under: uncultured bacterium
Lineage: Bacteria
Description: partial 16S ribosomal RNA
Rfam family: Bacterial small subunit ribosomal RNA
Source: RNAcentral